UUUAACAACGGUUUUUCAGCUACAUAGACAACGCUUUUAAAGCGUUGUCUAUCAGCUUUUUUCUUGUAGUGGGAUAUGACUACAACCCAAAGAAGUGAGAGCAUGAAUAGUAUUGUGAAAAAAUAUGUCACUUAUAAACACAAGUUUUUAGAUUUCUUCAAUCACGUCCAAAGACUCCUUGAUGAUCGUCGAUAUGAGGAAUUAAAAGCUGAUUUCAGAUCAAAUACAACUGUUCCAUAUUUAAUGUUUCCAAUUGAGAUUUUAAAGCAUGCUAGUGAAAUUUAUACUCCUGAGACAUACAAGUGUUUUCAACAAGAGUGGUGCCUAUCUCAUGAUUCUAGUAUAGAAAUUUGUGAGGAUGUUGAUACAUUUAUAAAAUAUAAAGUUACUCCUCACAAAAAGAGAAAUCAUCAUAUAGUUACACUUGAUAAGAAGUGUGAAAAAAUUGAGUGUAGCUGUAAAAAAUUUGAAUUUGCUAGAAUUUUAUGUUCUCAUAUUCUGAAAAUAUUUACAUGGAAAAAUAUCAUGAAGAUCCUUAGUGAGUAUGUAUUGAAAAGGUGGACAAGAAAAGCAAAAAUUGGAUAUUUUGAAGUUAAUGAUUCAAUGACCAAUAAUACUAGUUUGGAUCUAAAAUUAAUUCAAAACAUGCGAUACAAAGAGUUGUGUGGGUUGAAUGUUCAAUUGGUUACCAAGGCAGCGGAAAGGGAUGACACUUACAAGUUUGUUAAAGAUGCUAUGUUGAGCUUAUGUAAGAUGGUGGAUGAUAAAUUACAAGUUAAUGAAUCAAAUGUCCAACAAUCAAAUGUGAGCCAAGCAUCAUGGGAAUUUGAUUAUGGUGAAGGAAACUCUACUGGAGUAAAAGGGAUUAAAAUGAAGAAAAAAACGAUGUCAGGUAAGAGGUUGAAAGGUGGGUUAGAGAAGAUUUCAAGGAAAAGAAAAGCAGCGAGGAAAACAAACCAAACUUCAACAAUUGGUGUAGAUCAAACUAUUUCCAGUGUGCCCAGUGUACAAUGUGACUCGAUUAGUCAUCAACCUAUAAAUUAUGUGCCAACAAUUGGUAGCUCUGUUAGUAGUUUCAAUAUGGCCGAGACUCAAUUUCCACCAUUAUUGACAUCACAACUUUCUCAGGUAUAUAUACAUCUUAGUAACAAAAUAUGGUUUACAGAUAUACUUGGCUUAGUGUAUUGUGAAAUUAGCAAAAUAUAGUUUACAGAUAUUUAAUUGGCAAUCUUGUUUGGUUUCAAUUUUGCUGACUCCCGAUCCUAUGAAGGAGCUCCGAGUGAAGGUGAUUUUAUGACAGUGAUUGUGAUAUUGGUGUUGGUUUAUUGUAUGUGAGCUAAAGGAAAUGGUUUGGUAACUAAAAUUCAAUAGUUCUUCUCUCAUGCCCCAAGCACACACAUAACUUGGCCAUUUAUAUAAUAUCUAAUAUCAUAGCAAAUUGUAAAUUCAUUUGUGUGUGCUGUCUCUAACAGUCUACAUCUGAAAAAGUUAAUCACAAUAUGCCAUGGUCCAAAGUUAAUAAACAUUACACAGCUGCAUGUCAUAAUGUAGAUUUGAUGCUAAUGCUAAGGCACCGAAUAGGAUCCUUCCACGGCAACUAAGGUAAAGUAUAAAGAAAAUAGAUACAAGGUACAAUUUGAACUUUUCCAUUUCUAUAAUAAAUAAAUUUGGAUUGGAUAACUAUAAGUACAACAAACACACUCGACAUGUUCAUUGUGACAAAUAAAGUAAAUAUAUCUAGUUAUUAUGUUAAAUGCUGUCUGCUAAUACUAUGAUGACAAACUACCUUGUAGGUGUAUAUUUUCUUCUGACACCGGGCAGGAUAGACCACAACCUUAUAUGUAUCUUAUACAUGUUUGCCGAUUUUGUUUGGUUUCAAUUUUACUUGAUAUAGGAUUAUAUAUUUGUACAUGUUUGCCGAUUUUCUAUUCUUUUAUUAGAUUCUUCUAUUGUUUGAGGAACUUGCAGCAUCAAGCUUUAUUUAAAGUUGAUUGAUUGUAGUGUAUCUUGGAACUUUUAUAUUAUUGUGGUACUACUUGCCAAGUUUAUGCUUAGAGUGCUGAGCAACUUAAUAGUAUUGAUCUGAUAUUUAUAAUAGUAUUUUAGUCUUGCAUAUUCAACAUAAAGUUUUAUGGAAGCAUAAGAUACAAAUUGACUCUUAUAGUUGGAAUUUUAAUAGUUAACAGUUGUUUACUGUUAUAGGUGCAAUUACCAUUUGUGCAGUUUGCUGGACCACCUCCUGCGGCCUCCUCCGCUUAGAUAUCAACGAUCUCGUUCCAAAUAUUUUGGGAGUCAUUUUGACUUUUGUCCAACUAGUCAUCAUGCUUGUUACUAUAGAUCCACACC
Molecule: RNA transcript, 2346 nt
Organism: Zingiber officinale
Lineage: Eukaryota; Viridiplantae; Streptophyta; Magnoliopsida; Zingiberales; Zingiberaceae
Gene name: protein FAR1-RELATED SEQUENCE 9-like
Exons: 4
Source: RefSeq, a predicted model, not a curated record